CAGCCGCCGCGGUAAUACAGAGGGGGCAAGCGUUGUCCGGAAUUACUGGGCGUACAGCGCGCGCAGGCGGACCGCGACGUGCCGUGUGACAAGCCACUGCUCACCAGUGGAGGGCCAUGGUACACGAGCGGUCUGGAGGCAGGGAGAGGGAUGUGGAAUGCCCGGUGGAGCGGUGAAAUGCGUAGAGAUCGGGCGGAACACCAGCGGCGAAGGCGGCAUCCUGGUCCUGUUCUGACGCUGAGGCGCGAGAGCGUGGGGAGCAAACUGG
Molecule: ribosomal RNA, 268 nt
Filed under: uncultured prokaryote
Description: partial 16S ribosomal RNA
Rfam family: Bacterial small subunit ribosomal RNA
Source: RNAcentral